AGCGAACGCUGGCGGCGGGCUUAACACAUGCAAGUCGAACGGGCGUAGCAAUACGUCAGUGGCAGACGGGUGAGUAACGCGUGGGAACGUACCUUUUGGUUCGGAACAACCCAGGGAAACUUGGGCUAAUACCGGAUAAGCCCUUACGGGGAAAGAUUUAUCGCCGAAAGAUCGGCCCGCGUCUGAUUAGCUAGUUGGUGAGGCAACGGCUCACCAAGGCGACGAUCAGUAGCUGGUCUGAGAGGAUGAUCAGCCACAUUGGGACUGAGACACGGCCCAAACUCCUACGGGAGGCAGCAGUGGGGAAUAUUGGACAAUGGGCGCAAGCCUGAUCCAGCCAUGCCGCGUGAGUGAUGAAGGCCCUAGGGUUGUAAAGCUCUUUUGUGCGGGAAGAUAAUGACGGUACCGC
This 409-nucleotide ribosomal RNA is filed under the name uncultured bacterium. RNAcentral describes it as "bacterial SSU rRNA". It matches the Rfam family "Bacterial small subunit ribosomal RNA", at positions 29 to 481 of the family's 1533-position model. The record is from RNAcentral.